RNAcentral lists this long non-coding RNA (32939 nucleotides) under Gossypium barbadense (sea-island cotton). RNAcentral describes it as "long non-coding RNA (GBAR_LNC001927)". The record is from RNAcentral. Lineage: Eukaryota; Viridiplantae; Streptophyta; Magnoliopsida; Malvales; Malvaceae.
AUUUACUUACUAAAAUGAAAUUUAAUUAAUAAAAAUAUCAAAAAAAAUUUAAUUCUCGCUUCCCCACGUUCUCCCUCCCUCCCUCACUCUCUCUUUUUCAUCUUCUAUUGUCUUUUCAUUUUUCUUUCUUUAAAAACAUAUCGAGGAUUAGAAAUCUAAUAAGAACGGAAUGAAAUCUUGAAUUGAAGCAUAACUUGUUUAUUUAUACAAGAAACUAUAAUUAAUUCAUAACUAGAAAUUGGUUGAGCCUAACUAAUAGUAGUUAUUUAGUUGCUUCUGUUAAUUGCUAUUGCUAACAUCUACUGAUAUUUCCCUUGCAGAAGCGCAAAAAAUAGUAAGUGAAAUUACGUUGAGUUUAUCACGACAUUGAGCAAAACUCCCUAUGGUCAGCGGUUUGUUGAGUAUAUCUGCUACUUGAUCUCUGCCAGGAGCAUAGUUCACCUACAGGUUGACACUCAACACCUUGUCCCAAAUGAAAUGCAGGUCAAGUUCCACAUUCUUCACUCGAGCAUGUAACACUGGGUUGGCAGCCAAUAACACUGUGCUGGAAUUGUCACACCAGACAACUGGAGGUCCAGGAAGUUUUAUCUCAACUUCAUCAACUAGAGAAUGAAACCAGGUUCCUUCAGAAGCUGCAUUUGCCAAGCUUCUGUAUUCUGCUUCUGUAGUGGGUCGUGACACUACACUUUGUUUCUUAGAUGUCCAACCAAUGAGAUUAUAUCCAAGAUGCACACAGUAACCUGAUGUGGACUUACGAUCUUCAAGACAACUUGCCCAAUCAGCAUUAGAAAAUCCAGUCAACGUGAUCCUUGAAGGCUGAAAAACUAUUCCAUGAUCAAGUGUCCCUCGAACAUACCAUAAAAUACGUUUAACAACACUCGAGUGAAUGUCAUGUGCCUGAUGCAUGUAUUGGCUCACCUUAUUAAUAGCAAAUGCAAUAUCCGGUCGGGUGAGACACAAGUACUAUAUUCCUCCAACAACUUGCUUGUACGUUGUACCAUCAUCAAGUGGAGUGCCAACUAGAGAAGUCAAUGUAGGUGAACUCACCAUAGGAGUGCGAACAGACUUAGCAUUUGUCAUAUUUGCUCAAUCCAACAACUCUCAAGCAUACUUGUACUGGGAAACAUGCAUACAAUCACCUUUGCGAAUGACUUCAAGUCCAAGAAUAUAACUGAGAUCCCCUAAGUCCUUUAAAGAAAACUUCUCAUCAAGACACUGCACUACUUGAUCAAUUUCCAAGUUUGAAUCGCCUGUGACGAUUAUGUCAUUGACAUAUACAAACAAAAUAACACAUCCAACUGUAGUUUUCUUGAAGAACAAUGACAGAUCUGCAUGAAAAAGCUGUAACUGUUGCUUCUAAACUAGAAAAUCUCUCAGCUUUUCAAACUAAGCUCUCGGGGCUUGUUUAAAACCAUAUAGUGCCUUGUUCAGUUUGCAGGCUAGAAGAGUCCCAUUUGCAUCACAAACUUCAAAUCCAAGAGGCUGUGUCCGAAUAAAAAUACUGAAACCCAAACCUAGCCUGAAAAAUGAGCACAAAAAUUUUCUCAAGCCUAGCCCGAAUAAAAAUACUAAAACCUAGAUCUAACAUGACUUGGUCUCAUCCUUAUUAAAUUUUUUUAUAUAAAAAAAUUUAAAAACAUAAUACAUCAAAAACACUAAAAGCAUUAAAAUAAAUGUUUCCCAACAAAUUGAAAAUAAAUUAAAAAAUAUUUUUAUACUUAAAUAACACUAAAAUAUGUGCAACUUAAUAAGCAAAGGCUUCUAAAAUAGUAGCAAAAUUAACAAUAAAACUAGAGUUUUAUAAUAUCCAAACAAUAACAACAAAAUAGUAACAACAUAAUAAUAACAAAACAAAAGUAAAACAGUGAGAAAACAACAUAUUUUUUUUUUGUAAAUUCGGGUUGAGCCCGAGUAAAAAAAACCUUACUCUAAUGUUUUUGCUCAAGCCCAUUUUUCAAGACUAUAUUUUGUCCAAACCCUUCCACUUUUCGAGCAAGCCUUCGGUCCAGACCACCCAACCUGACCCAUGGAUAGGUCUACUUGAUUAAUAUUUCUCUCUUUUUUCUUUUGGUACUUAAGUAUCUAGGUUCUAGACUCACCAUUUGCAAUUUUAUGCCUGAGUCUCGAAGUCCCAUUAUGUGCAACUGCCAUGUGUGGGCUUAGUCCAGUUAGUUCAGUUUGAUGAUUUUAGUUUGGAUAGUACCAGUUUUUAGUUCGAUCGUGUUGUAAUAGUUUGAUUUUAUUUUGUGAUUCCUUGAAUAAUCUAUGUUGUAAUAAUUUGAUAUUUGCGAUUAUUCAAAUAUAAAUUUAUAUUUGUACUUUGAUUGUACUUAUCGCACUUUAAAAAAAUUCAAACCCUUUUAACCCCUUAAUUAAAUGAAAUUUUGUAUAUUUAUCCUUAUUAAACAUUAAUAAUUCAAUCAAAACCCCUUUAGUCCCUUAGUUAAAUGAAAAUGAGGCAUUUUGACGCUUAUCAACAAAAUACUAUAUACAAUUUUAAUUUUGAAAAUCAAAAUCCUUAUCAUGUUUAAAAUUAGGAAAAAAAAUGCCAAUGAGGAUUUGGCAUUGGAUGCAAAGGCUGAAACCUUAAGUAACUCAUCGUAUAUAAUUGUCAUGUUUAGAUUUUUAACCUAAUCAUCAUGAGUGAAUUUUAUCUGAUUAUAUUUCUAUUUUUUGUACGUUUAUAUUUUGUAUUAGUUUAACUCUAUUUAUAAACUCUUAAAAGUUAAUACAUUAAACUUUUUUUUUGUCUGAUUUUCAGGAUUCUGAUAUAUACAACAAAAGAAGAAAUAAUUACACAAGAACAAUUAUGCAGUAUAUGGCAACAAAGCAUGAUAAUGUUGGAUUUCAUUGUUGCAAGUGACAGACAAGACAACAGAUUCAAGUGGUAAUCCCAUAAACGUUUGUUUGGCUGCUCAGAAAUUUCGGCUUCAUAUGGACUUCUAGUCAACCCAAAAUUAAUGCAGCCAUUUUAAACUUUCAUACUUGUCUAAGAAUCAAACAUAAAUUGGUGACCCACCAAAAUGGUUUAACUGCACGUGGAUUGCCCAAUUCCCAAGUCACGAAUUUUUUCUGACCACCGAAAUGAAAUUAUAAAAUUUUAGGAAUUAAAAUUAAGAAUUUUGCAUUAGAAAUUUUUAAAUUGAAAAUUUAUUUUUUCAAAAUACAAAUUUUAUUAUUUAAUUAAGGUUAAAGAGGCUAAUAAUAACAAUUUCGAUUUUUUAGAAAGGCCUAAAAGUAAAUUUCCUAUUUAGCCAAUGAGCGAAGGCCGUUUCUCCUACCUAUCUACACUUCUAAUUGGUAUGUAUUCAACAUAAACUUGAUAAUGGUGAGUUCACUUGUCCAAGUUCGAAGGCCUGUUUAAAAAGUGGAAGCAUUUGAGAAAAAUAGACUUAAAAAAUAAACUUGAAAAAAAAAUUCAUUUUUUAAACGGCCGAGCCUUAGGUAAUAUUCUUUUGGCCCGGGCUCGGUCCGAAUUUGCCUAAAAAUUGUUUGCUGCUAUUUUGUUGUUGUUUUGCUAUCAUUUUGCUAUUAUAUUGGUACUAUUUUAUUGUUAUUGUUUAAAUAUUAUAUAACUAUUAUUUUAUUGUUAAUUUUGCUACUAUUUUAAAGGCAUUUGCUUGUUAAGUUGCAACUAUCUUAGUGUUAUUUAAUUAUAAAAGACUUAUUUUAAUAUAUUUUCAAUUUAUUGGAAAACAUUUAUUUUAAUAUUUUUAGUGUAUUUGAUGUAUUAUAUUUUUUUAUAUUAUUUUUAUAUAAAAAUAAUAUAAAAAAAUUUAAUACAGGUGGGCCGAGGUUGGGCUUAGCAUUUUUUAUCAGGGCCAGAUUUUGGCAAAAUUUCAUAUCUAUUUUUCGAGCCAAACCUAGAAAAUGGACAUAAAAUUUAACAUCGACCCGGUCUGAACCCGACCCAACCCAUGAUCAGGUCUAAUUCAACAUAGUGGAUGAAAUUUUUUGGGUGAGACUUUGCUCACUGUCUUUAGAGUUACGGACAAUUAUAACUCAUUUUAUUUGUAACACCCCUAGCUCGUUCCGGUUGCUGGACUUGAGCUAGAGAAGGUUACCACACGAAACUCACAAAACAAACACAUACUUCAUACAUACAUGGCAAGCCGUGCCACAAACUAAUAUGUGACGAGCUGGUCCUAUGGGUCAUCCAUCUGCUUACUGAAUUGCAAAUGGCUAAACUGCAAAUUAUCCCGUGGACACAAAUAUUGCAGAAAGUAAGGCAAAUAUCAAAUUUUAUAAUUUUCUGCAAAUACUUAUAUGGCGGACUGUUCCACGGAUGCCCUACACUGUGAUAGGACUUGAGGAAUUUAUAAUGCGGAACAUAACAGAACUUGAGUUCAAUUUAUUUACAUACAUCCAGAUAGUUCAAAGAAAUUACCUUCAAAAUUUUAACAUAUUUGCUUACAAUAACCAAACUUCUAUAUACAAACAACCUAGAUCGACCCAAACAAAAUCAAAAGUCUACCACAAUUUUGGGCGGAAAGUGUGAACUUCUUGCUAAUCCAAUUGUCAUGCUCUAAACAUUCAAAAUCUACAAGAUAAAAGCAACCUAGGCAUAAGUAUUAAGAAUACUUAGUAAGCUCAUACAAAUUCAAUAGCUAACUUACCUCACAUAAUAAUUAUAUGAUAAUUUAAUAUGCAAACACAGUUUACCUAUCAGCCAACACAACUCAUCAACAAGGUUAGUGUGUAUACUUUAUCACAUACAAUAUAUCGAGUACACAACAUAAUGCAAUAACACUAUUCAUUUCUAAUUCAUUCACAUACCUUUCAUUGGCGCGAGUUCUAAUUUAAUAGACAGGCUUUCUAUAACGCCCCAAAAUUUUAAGAAUUUAAUUGUGAGAAUCUGUAGUAAUUAAUUUCUGUAUUUCUGGUGUUGUGCUCUGCUUCUAGGUUUAAGGUUUGGAGUUCGAGUCGCUUUAUUGAAAGUUUUGUUGUGUUUUUAAAUCAACCCAUGAGCCUGCGUUACCCGAUUAAGUUCAAUUCAGUGUGAAAUGGUGACAAGAAUGAGCCUGCUGGUUCACUGGUUAAGCAUUUGUUUGUAUUCUGUUUGGUUCCGAGUUCAAAUCCCAUUGUACGCAUUAGGAAUAUAUUUUCUUUGCAAAUGUCGAGAAGGGUGGUGGUUAAUUUAAAACAAUUUAAGAAAAGUUAUAGUUCUUUUUCUUUCAAAAUUUUAGUUCUUUAAUUUUUGUUGUUCUUCCUUUUUUUUCAAUUUUUUUUCUUUUUUCUUCUUUUUUGCAAUUGAUCUUGUGUGAUUGUGAAGUCUUGUUGCCUGUGAGAUCAAUUUUGUGUAAGUUCCGUUGCAACUUCCUUUCGUUGUGAUUUUCAUUUUGUUAACAUUUUUCUGUCAAAACGAGACUUUGCUCGUUUAGUUGAUUUUCUGUUAAACACUUUAUUGGUCACUUUGUUUAGGCAAUGAUAUUGCAAAAGACGGUAAUCCGCCGUGUUAGGUUGAAUUCUCCUGUUUCAUAUAAGGUGAGUGUGCAAAUUGGAAUAGAAUUGUGUCGAACCUUUCGACAUGUUUUUAACGAUAAGUGAUUUUGCUAAAUGUUGGAAUUGAUAGUGUAAUUAAUUGUAGAAUGACUAAUUAGGUUUCGGGUAGUCUCCAUAUUAUUUCUCUGUCAAAACGAAAUCAGGUGCGUACCGAAAAAUUUAAUUUGCAAGUUUCGGAUCACCAAAAAUGGUGGUUGUUAAUGCUACACAGCCAGGCACACGGGCGUGUAACUAGGCCGUGUGGGCCACUCGGCCGUGUGAACGACCGUGUAACUCAUUAUUUACUGAAUUAAGGCCACACGAGCGUGUGUCUAGGCCGUGUGUGGCCAUGCUAGUUCAGGGUUCACACUGCCAGGGACACGGGCGUGUGCCCAAGCCGUGUAACUCACUGUUUGUAGUAUAAAAACCACAUGGCUAGGUAUACGGGCGUGUGCCCAGGCUGUGUAACUCAUUGUUUGAGGUAUAAAAACCACACGGCCAAAGACACAGGCGUGUGCCCAGGCCGUGUAUCUCAUUGUUUGUGCUUAAAAACCACAUGGCCAAGGCACAUGGGCAUGUGCCCAAGCUGUGUUGCAGGAUGUUGGGUCGGAGAACUAUUUUUGAGGUCGAGAAUGUUGCUAAACUUUGAUAUUGGUUUCCUCAAUGUGCAAAUGACUGAAUUUGUUUAUAUGAGAACUGUCUGAUACAUUGAGACUGAUCUGUGAAUCACAUACUUGAAUAUGCACUGUAAUACCACUCUAUUAUUGAACUAUUUUAUUAAUUAUGUAAUGUAUUUGUAUGACUAAACAUGUGUUACGGUAGGUAUGGGGUGGGAUAUUGUAAAGGAAGAAGAAACCUGUUCUGAAAUCGUGGCUAUGCCACUAAGAGUAAUCUGAUUCUGGCGCUUGUCGCAUACUGAAUUAGCAGCUAAGCUGCGUUUCUGUAAAAGUUUCAAUGAACACUUAAUGGUGUGAAGGAUUGGUUGGGCAUUGAAUGUCCUUAAUGGUGUGUUGCGAUGGCGGAAGAUGGUGUGUAGCGGACGUCAAUAGAAAAAUUGCAUCUGAAUCUGAUCGGUGUCGUAUACAUGUAACUGGUCUGCUCUGAAUCUAAACUAUCACUCUUCUGAAAUGAACUAAAUACUUGAAUUUGGAAUUUCGCUAUAAAUGAUAUCUAAUAAAUAAACUUAUUUUACUCACUGAGUUCACAACUUACUCCUUUAUUGAUUGGAUUUCAAGUGGUUUCUAGUCUUGAUCGGGUUAGGGUCGCAGAAGCUUGGUCAAACCUUUACCUUUCUUUUAAGCAUUACUAAGAUUUAUUAUUCUGUGAUGUUAUGGAACUUAUGAAGAUUAUGUGCUUUAAAUUUCGUGGUGAUGAUUGUUACGUAAUGAAUAGCUCAAUUCGAUUGCAUUAUGAUAGUAUGAACUAUAAUACGGAUGAUGUAACUCUCCAAACUUGGUCUAGACGUCUAGACUAGGCUUAGGGUGUUACAUUUUCCAUUACCCCUUAUUUCUUAAUUUACCAGCUCCACAUCUCGCAUGUUUUAUAUUACCUGAUGAACAUCGUAAAAGAACUCAAAAUGCAGGUAUGCUUUCAAAGGCUCGUUCGAGCUAAUCAUGUACAGGAGUGUCAGGUUACCUGUUCGAGCUAAACCUUUAUUGACACAAUGAAAGCCUAACCAAGACUGUAUAUAUAAAACAUAUUUGUCUAUUCAACAACUUUUCCUUUCGCACGAUCUUCUCUCGGCCGAUUCAAAACUUGAUCUAUAAUAUAAUUUAAUUCAAUUUUUAUCAACCGUUAUCAUUCAUUAAUUUAUGAAACAUAUUAGUUAGUUCAAUUUUAUCACUCUAGAUUCCUUUAAACCUAACAUAUUAAACAAUCAAACCUUUUAUAACAAAGUUUAUAGAAUCUUAAACUGGUUUUGAAAUGUCUACACUCUAAUCUUGAUAGUCAAAACUAACAAAUUCUCAUUAUUCCAAGUAAUCCUUUUUCAUAAACCCUCUUCUAAACUAAUCAUUUACCACCACAAUUUCAAGCAUUCUACAAUGGUAAUCUCAUGAAAUCUUUAACAGUUUUAGAAACAAACACCACUAUUAGCUAGAUUGAAGUACAACAAUUUCAAAAACAUCAAAUCCAAGCAAAACGGGCUCGAAUUAGCUUACCAUGCAAGAGCACAAAGCUUGGCCGAGCUUUCCUAGCUUAACAAAGAAGAAAGAUGAUGAUAGAGAGAAUGAAAGAAAGAAAAAAAUGAGUUUUCUUCACUCUGUCCAUUAUGUUACAGUAUAUAUAUAUUGUCGAAACCAUCUUUUUAUUUAAAAUUUUAAGUUUAAUAAAAAAUAGGGAAUCGACUAUUUGAAAAUAAAAACAUAGAGUCACCACCAAUCUUUUUGUUUUGGUGUGAUUGGGUCACCUAAAAAUUUGGCUAUUAAAAUAUUUCUGUUUUAUUAAAACAAUGAUUUUGGUCUACGAACUUUUGAGAAAACGGAUUCGGGAGUCAGCUACGCAUGAGGAAGGAUUAGCACCCUCACUAUGCCCAAAAUUGGUACCAAAUCGAUUAAAUACUGUCCUUGCGUCUAAGAUUUAAAAAUGUUUUUGAAAUGUGGUUCCCUUUUGGUGAUAUUUGAAUAACCCGAGUUGGUUAUCAAAAUUCUCUUGCUUAAGAGGAAUAUAGCACCACAUCUAGCAUGAUAGGACACGAUCUUUCAUGCCCUACAAUUGUUUCACAUAUAUAUAUAAUUAUUAAACUAUAUGUUAUGGAAUAAAUAUUUUAAUCGAGUGACAUACAAAAUAUUGAAGAAUAUUAGCUUAAAAUUAACAAUUUUCAUAAAUAUUUUAAAUUAUGUACCAAAUAUGAAGAGAUUACAAAUAUAUAUAAUAAGAUAUAAUCUUAGAAACAUAAUUUUUGGACACUUGAGCAGAGUAGUGUAUUCUUCGAUGGUAAAUACCAAAUCCACUUCUCUAAAAGUGAAACAUUUGUAAGCAGAAUUCCAAAACUGCACCAUAACUCGGAACAGAUGCUUAUCCACUCUAAUGUCUAGCAAGUAGGAUAUAUCACCAUAGCUUUGAUAAAACAACUGCUUGGUCCCUUCAUCCCAACUAGCCCAAAUAUCUCUCAACUCUUACAGCUUAUUCUGUGCUACAUUGACACGAGUGAAUUCCUGCAACUCUGAUAUAUAUCCUUCUGCCAAGCUAUCCCCUUUUUCUGAUUCUAGCUUCUCUAACCAUACACGAACAGCCGCAUUAUCCUCGACUUUACUAAGAAAUUCAUUCUCCAUGUCAAACUUUCUAACUUAGCAAUUGAAUACGAAUCAACACCUUCUUUAGUAUGCAAUGUCAUGCAAAAAACAAUCAAAACAAAACACAGGUUAGUAUCAAAUAAUGGCGAUAAAAUGCAAGCAUAUAAACGAUAAUUAAUAUGCAUAUACGGGUAAUUACUAAGGCUUGACGCGGCUCUACUCGAGGAUAGCUCCUAAGGUUCACUAUAUGUGGUUUGGUUCUAGAGAUAAGGUACCCGAACCAGCAGAUCCCUCAAUCCUCACCCAUUAUAGGCUCAUAUAGAUUGAGUUCAGUUCAAGGGGAUACAUUUCCCUAUGACCAUGCGGAGAUGAAAAUCUCACGAAAUCAUAGGUACGGAUGUACCCCUGAAGCAAUCCACUAGCCCAUGCGGAGGUGAAAAGCUCACGAAAGCGUAGUUUCUUACUCCCACUUAGAAGCUGUGACCACAGCGGUCAUGCAAUGAAAUGCAGUAUUAUUCUACGAGAUUCGAAGCAUAACAACCAUACAAACAAAUGCGAUCAUGAUUUUCAAAACAAGUUUUCGAUUUUUGACAAAAGGACAUCAAAUAAUCAAUUUUAUGGCUAGACUCUCUUAUCCGGUCCCCAGUGGAGUUGCCAAGCUGUCGAAACCAUCUUUUUAUUUAAAAUUUUAAGUUUAAUAAAAAAUGGGGAAUCGAAUAUUUGAAAAUAAAAACAUGGAGUCGCCACCGAUCUUUUUGUUUUGGUGUGAUCGGGUCACCAAGAAUUUGGCUAUUAAAACAUUUCUGGUUUAUUAAAACAAUGAUUUUGGUCUACGAACUUUUGAGAAAACGGAUUCGGGAGUCAGUUACGCAUGAGGAAGGAUUAGCAUCCUCACUAUGCUCAAAAUUGGUACCAAAUAAAUUAAAUACUGUCCUUACGUCUAAGAUUUAAAAAUGUUUUUGAAAUGUGGUUCCCUUUUGAUAAUAUUUGAAUAACCCGAGUUGGUUAUCAAAAUUCUCUUGCUUAAGAGGAAUAUAGCACCACAUCUAGCACGAUAGGACACGAUCUUUCAUGCCCUCGAAAGCAUGACAAAUUUUGACUUCCAAAAAUUUAUACGUUGAAAACUGUAAAAGGAUGCCCAAUUAUUUAGUCCAACGAGAAGAUCGAAACCCAGCACAGUAGGACACGACUCCUCGAAUUUCUAGAUAUCAGACAUUGCCUUAUUUUAGAAUUUAAAAAGUAUGAGUGAAGUUCUAAAGGAAUCUUCGAUCAUUUUGGACAAACAGAAAAUUGCAACCCAGCACAUUAGGGUACGAUUACCCGAAUUGCCAAACUUCGAAUAUUACCUUCGUUUUGAAGAGUUUUUAGAAAACAUAAAUGAAAUUCUAAAGGGACAUUCGAUUAUUUUGAGUAAACGAGAAAUUGCAACCCAGCACGUUAGGGCACGAUUCCGCGAUUUGUCAAAUAUUGAACAUCGCCCUCGUUUUAAAGGAUUUUUAGGAGACAUGAGUGAAAUUUUGAAGGAAUAUUCGAUUAUUUUGAGCAAACAAGAAAUUGCAACCCAGCACGUUAGGGCAUGAUUUCGCGAAUUGUCAAAUAUCGAACAUCACCUUCGUUUUAAAGAAUUUUUAAACGAAUAAUUAUAAAAAUAACUUAAAACAUAUUAAUGUGACUCGAAAUAAGACAGAAUUAAUCAUAAAAAUUUAGAUUUUAUAAAACCAAAUUUCAUAAACCAAGUGGAAAACACUUUAUUUAACCAACUAACAAACACUUACAACUAAGUAUAACUAACUUGGAAAUAUAGCUCAAUUUCAAUCAUGCAUGGAGAAUAAUUAACAUGACAAUACAAAACAAUGAAUAAAUAAAUAAUGCAACGAUAACAUGCAUGGCAUAAUGUAAUAUGACUACUACUAGAUACACGAAACAAAAUGCAAAUCAAAGAAGUAAUAUGGUAUAAAACUAUUUUAAAACAAUGAUAAAUAAACGAUGCACACUAUAUGAAUUGAUGGAUUGAUAAAUAAAACAUUUGUAAAGGCAAGCUUAAUAUACAUAUGCGAUCAUUAAAAUAUAUUUUGUAGAAUGAAUCUUUUUUUUAAAAUACAUAAUAUAUAAGUUGAUAAAUUCGCGUAGAAACUAAGAAUAUGUAAUCAUUGAAAGAAAUAUUAUAGAAUAAAACUUUGAAUCAAAUUGCAUGUUGUGAAAAAAUAAAAAAAAUAAUAAAUAAAAUAAAAAACACACAAAUUUUACGUGGAAACCCUUUCGGGAAAAAAACCACGGGCAGAGGAGAAGAAAAUUUACUAUGUCGAAAAUUUGAACCAAUACAAGAGCAAUAGACUAUGUCUAUUUAUAGGCUUGUAAAGCCAUAUUCUAGUAGGAUCGAAACACCUUAUCCUAAUUAAUAUAAAAUAGAUGAAUUUUAAUAAGGUUUAAAAAACCUUAUUCUAAAAUAAAAUAAAAGAAGUCUAGUUCUAUAUGGAUUUUACUUUUAUUUUAUUUUCCAUCUUAUUUUAUUUAAAUAAUAAUUUGGGUCACUUAAUUCUAACAAUCUCCUCCUUGAGACAAAUUCUCAAUGAACAAGUUCUUCAUCGCGAACUUUCAAUAAACAAGUUCUCCACCUCUUCCAUAAAACCCCUUAAGGGUUUAACUUCAACAAUGUACACCAACCAAGUCUAAGCAAUGCUCAAACUUGGUUAUAGGAAGUGACUUAGUCAUCAUAUCUGCAGGAUUUUCAUGAGUACUAAUUUUGCUCACAACAAUAUCACCACGAGCAAUAAUAUCAUGAACAAAAUGAUACCGAACAUCAAUGUGUUUUGUUCUCUCAUGAAACAUUUGAUCUUUUGUAAGAAAGAUGGCACUCUAACUGUCACAAAAUACUGUGCUGAUUUGAAGGUCUUCAUUGAGUUUACUAAAGAGUCCCUUCAACCAAAUAGCUUCUUUACAAGCCUCAAUAAUCGCCAUGUACUCAGCUUCAGUGGUAGACAAAGAGACUGUAGACUGCAAAGUGGCUUUCCAACUGAUUGCACAACCUCUGAUUGUAAAGACAUAACCUGUGAGAGAUCUUCUUUUAUCAAGGCCUCCAGCAAAAUCAGCAUCAAUAUACCCUAUGACUCCAUCUGUAGUUCUUCCAAACUGUAAGCAAACAUCAGUAGUACCUCGUAAGUAUCUUAGAAUCCACUGAACUGCUUUCCAGUGUUCUUUACUGGGAUUCGUCAUGUAUCUGCUAACUGCACUGACUGCAUAUGAUAAAUCUGGACGUGAACAAACCAUAGCAUACAUGAGAGAUCCCGCUGCACUAGAGUAUGGAACAUGUGACAUGUACUCAAUCUCGUCAUCUGAUUGUGGAUACAAAACUGAUGAAAGUCUGACAUGGGCUGCUAAAGGAGUACUAACAGGCUUAGCACUCUACAUAUUGAACCUGCAAAGAACUUUCUCAAUGUACCCCUUCUGACUUUAGUACAAUUUACUUGUUUUUCUAUCUCUAAGAAUCUCCAUUCCAAGUAUCUUCUUUGCUGGUCCUAAAUCUUUCAUUUCAAAUUCUUUACUUAGUUGGGUUUUGACAUUUCUUAUCUCUCCUUUAUCUUUUGCUACUAUCAACAUGUCAUUAACAUAAAGAAGUAGAUACACAAAAGAACCAUCACUGUUUUUCUUAAAGUAAACACAACUAUCAAGACUACUUCUUUUGAAAUUAUGAGAAGUCAUAAAGGAAUCAAACCUCUUGUACCACUGUCUUGAUGACUGUUUCAAACCGUAAAGGGACUUUUUCAGCAAGUAAACAUAGUCCUCUUUUUUCUGAGACUAUAAAACCUUCUGGUUGUUGCAUGUAAAUAUCCUCCUCAAGUUCUCCAUGCAGAAAUGCAGUUUUUACAUCUGACUGCUCAAGCUCCAAAUCAUGCAUGGCCACAAUACCAAGCAAAGCUCGAAUCGAACUAUGCUUAACAACUGGAUAGAACACAUCUGUGAAGUCCACUCCUGGAAUUUGAUUGUAACCCUUUGUAACAAGCCUUGCUUUAUAUCUGGGUUCUUCAACUCCUGGAGUCCCUUCUUUCUUUUUAAACACUCAUUUACAAUGAACAACAUUUUUAUCUUUAGGAAGUUUCACAAGGUCCCAUGUUCUGUUUUUGUGGAGUGAUUCCAUCUCUUCUUGCAUAGCAAACAUCCACUUUUCUGAGUCUUCACAGCUAACUGCCUCAGAAUAAUUAGAUGGCUCUUGAUUCGCAUCUAUAUCUUCAGCCACAUUUAAAGCAUAAGCAACUAGAUCAGCCUCGGCAUACUUCUUUGGAGGUUUAAUUUCUGUUCUAGUUCUGUUUUUGGCGAUAGAGUAUUGUGGUGAAGAAGCAACUCUAUUCUCAACUUUUGUUCUGGCUUGAGGAGUUGAUCUAUAUUAAUCUGAUGCUCCACCUGCUUUUGAUUUUCUUUAUUGGAAGAGUCUAUAAGAGAUAAGUUAGGUAGCAUAGCAGUUUCAUCAAAAACAACAUCUCUGCUAAUCACAACUUUUCUAUUUUCAGGACACCAUAACUUAUACCCUUUUACACCAGCUUUAUAACCAAGAAAAACGCAUUUAAUGGAUCUCGGUUCCAAUUUUCCAUUAUCAACAUGAGCAUACGCAGAACACCCAAAAAUCUUUAAAUCAGAAUAAUUAGUAGGAUUACCAGACCAUACCUCUUGUGGAGUCUUUUUCUCAAUGGCAACGGAUGGAGAUCGGUUGAUUAAAAAACAUGCAGUAGAGGAUGCUUCUGCCCAAAAUGACUUCGAUAAGUUGGCAUUUGACAACAUACAUCGAACCUUCUCCAUGAUCGUUCUGUUCAUUCGUUCUGCAACGCCGUUUUGCUGUGGAGCAUGACGAACUGUCAAGUGUCUCAUGAUCCCUUCUGACUUGCACAAUCUAUUAAACUCAUCAGAACAGAACUCUAAGCCAUUGUCUGUGUGGAGGUAUUUUAUCUGUUUUCCCUUCUAUUUUUCAAUUAUAAUUUUCCAAGACUUAAAUGCGGAAAACACAUCGUUUUUCUGCUUCAGGAAGAACGCCCAAACUUUUCUGGAAAAAUCAUCAAUAAAGGUUAGCAUAUAAUUAGCUCCACCUCUCGAAAGCACUCUGGAUGGCCCCCACAGAUCAGAAUGAAUAUACUCCAAUAUUUCCUUCGUGUUAUGGAUUCUUCUAGUGAAUCAAACUCUCUUUUGCUUCCUCAAAACAUAGUGCUCACAGAAAUUUAGUUUGCAAAUUCUUUGCCCAUCAAUAAGUCCUCUUUUACUCAAUUCUACCAAGCCAUUCUCACUCAUAUGCCCUAGGCGCAUAUGCCAAAGUUUAGUAAUAUCAUCAUCUGAUAAGGAAGAGGAAGCGACAGCUGCAUCACUAGUAACAGUAGAACCCUGCAAAACAUAGAACUUCUAAGUUUUUCUUUUCCCUUUCAUCAUAACAAGGGAACCUUUGGAAAUCUUUAAAAUCCCACUUUCAGCUGUAUAUCUGUACCCUUUUGAAUCAAGAGUACUUAACGAAAUUAAAUUUUUCUUCAAUUCUGGAACAUGUCGUACCUCACUAAGUGUUCUGACAACUCCAUCAAACAUCUUAACUUUAACUGUUCCAAACACCUGCGAUUUUACACGAAGCAUUAUUUCCCAUCAAAACAACACCUUCAGACACUGUUUCGUAAGUUGUAAACUAAUCCCGAUUGGGACUCAUGUGGAAGGUACAGCCUGAAUCAAGUAUCCAUUCCUAGAUUACUUUAGAAUCAUUAAUAGAAGCAACUAGAAGUUCACUAUCGCUAUAAUCUUCUACAACAUCAGCUUCACCGGAAUUUUCUGGUUGUUUUCCCUUUUGAUUCGCAGCCUCCUUUUUAAUCUUAUUUUGUAGCUUAUAGCACUCAGAUUUAAUAUGCAUUUUCUUAUUGCAGAAGUUACAAGUUUUACCUCUGUUUGAAGACUUCGAUCUACCUUUAGAUUUACCACGAGGAUUCCGUUCCUGUGUCCUACCACAAUCAUCAUCAGUAUUCCGAUCUUGUCUCCCACGAACAAUGAGACCCUCUUCCUGAGAGUCGGGUUUAACCACAAGAUGCUUCAUCUUAUCAUACGAGGUUAAAAAAUCAUAAACCUCAUCAACUGUGAGAGACUCGCGGCUAUAUAAAAUCGUGUCUCUAAAGGUUGAAUAAGAUGGGGGCAACGAACAAAGUAGAAUCAACCCUAGAUCUUCCUUAUCAUACUGAACCUCCAUGGCGUCCAAGUUUGAGAGAAUUUCUUUAAACACUGUUAAGUGUUCGUGUACAGACGCACCUUCCUCCAAACGAUGAGCAUAAAGACGCUGCUUCAUAUGCAACUUGCUUGUUAGAGUUUUCGACAUACAUAUUUGUUCUAGCCUCUUCCAUAAUGCAGCGACAGUCUUCUCUUUCAUCACAUCCUACAAAAUUUCGUUGGACAAAUGUAGAUGUAAUUGUGUUAAUGCCUUUCGAUCAUUGCGCUUCUUCUCUUCAUCUGUUAAUGUUGAAGGCAUCUUAUCUAUCCCUAGCAGGGCAUCCUCCAGAUCCACCUGUGCAAGAACUGCUUGCAUCUUAAUUUGCCACAACGCAAAUCUGGUGUUGCGAUCCAACAGCGGAAUUUCAUACUUCAAAUACGCUAUUACCGUGAUCGAGAUGAGUAACCCGGAAGCUCUAAUACCAAUUUGUGAAAAAAUAAAAUAAAUAAAUAAAAUAAAGAACACACAAAUUUUACGUGGAAACCCUUUCAAGAAAAAAAUCACUGGCAGAGGAGAAGAAAAUUCACUAUGUCGAAAAUUUGAAUCAAUACAAGAGGAAUAGACUAUGUCUAUUUAUAGGCUUGUAAAGCCAUAUUCUAGUAGGAUUGAAACACCUUAUCCUAAUCAAUAUAAAAUAGAUGAAGUUUAAUAAGGUUUAAAAAUCUUAUUCUAAAAUAAAAUAAAAGAAGUCUAGUUCUAUAUAGAUUUUACUUUUAUUUUAUUUUCCAUCGUAUUUUAUUUAAAUAAGAAUUUGAGUCACUUAAUUCUAACACAUGUAAAUAUUUUAAAUACAAACUCCUUUAAAGGUUUACAAAGUACAUGAUAAUUUGAAUAAUAUAGGCACAAAAGAAUAAUAAAAAUACAUGACAAGACAUAAUACCUAAAAGAGAUUUAUAAAAAAUGUACAUGUAAAUUUAUAAAAAGAAUGAGAUUAAUAAUAUAUAUAUAAAUUUUAAGUUAGUGUAAAAAUUAUACAUGCCCUCAUAUCAAAACAUUUAAAUAAUAGGCUAUAUAAAACACAAAGUAAGUUAAUACAAAGGAACAUCUAAAAAUAAUAAUUUUAUAAUUACAAAAAAUAAGGUUUCUAAAAUAGUUUCACAUAUAUAUAUAAUUAUUAAACUAUAUGUUAUGGAAUAAAUAUUUUAAUCGAAUGACAUACAAAAUAUUGAAGAAUAUUAGCUUAAAAUUAACAAUUUUCAUAAAUAUUUUAAAUUAUGUACCAAAUAUGAAGAGAUUACAAAUAUAUAUAUAUAUAUAACUUUAGAAGUAAUUAUUUGUAAAAACAUGUAAGACAUACAAGAUUAAAUUAAUUUUAUUAUACAUUUCACAAUAGACUUAAGAACGUGCCUAUAGAUGUAAGAAAACUAUAGGUAUAAAAUGUAUCGACUUAGAAAUAUAUAUAUCAAAUAUGUGUACUAAUAUAAGUAAAUAUAAAAAUAAUUUAAACUUUAUGUAAAACAUAUAUACAAAACAUGUUAGAAUAACAAAAGUAUAUAUACCAAAAUACAUAGAUAAGGUCAAAAAUCAUUAUAUGCAUGAAAAUACGUUAACUUUGUUAUAAAAUAUGUAUAUGUAUAAUAAUAUAAAGGAGAUGAACAUUUAAAGUAUACAAAGUAUGAUAAUAAUAUUACAAAAACGAAUCUACAACAAUGAAGAAACAAUUAUCAAAAUUGCUUAAAAUGUACAAAUAAAUAAAUAAAGAAAAUAAAAAGGGCUAUAAAAUAAAAAGACUCAAUUAAAAUUAAACUAAAUCACACGAGGUAAUUUGAAAAUAAUUCAAUAAUUAUAAAAGGACCUAUAGGUAACGCGCGCAGCUGUGUAGGGACUUAAAUUGGAAAUAUUCUAGACCCCCAAAACGCAACACACAAGCGCGGACCAAAAUAAAAAUACACACAAAUUAUGCGUAAAAUUUAAAAAGAAAAAAAUGCGAAUAUUAACUAAUUUGAAAAUGGGGCGAAAAGGGAAGGAUUGAUAUUGCAAAUAAACCCUCACCGCAAAAACACUCGGGUCAUCGGGGUAGCAAACCGGAUCGGGUCGGGCAUGACUAGACGAUGUCGUUUUUAAGCCAUUGAAACGGGCUUGAAACGGCGUCGUAUUUGACCCUUUAAAAGGACCGAAAACUAAAUCAUUCAGCCAAACAAACCCUAGGCUCCCCUUUUCUCCAGCCGAACUAAGCCAAACCCAUUUGGCCAUGGCCCCAUCGCAGCCUACAAUCGACCGAUUUACUGCCCCGUGAUUCCUCCUCCACCUUCGACUUCAAUGAGGCAAGGAAGAAUCAAUGGCGAAUUCGCGAGGUAAGGCUUCGUUUUUCUCUUUUCUUUUAUUUUUAGAUGCAAGGAAUGAAAAAUAAAAUCAUAGGGAGCAGAUCGAGAGAGAUAAAACAUAAUAAACCCAAGAGAUUCAAAACAAGAAAUCACCUUGCUCUGUUUUUUUUUUUACUUUCUAUUGCUUCUGUAUGUCUCUAGAAGACUUUACAAUCGCAAAACGAAAGGCUUUAUAGCCGAGUGUUCCAAAAAAGAAUAAAAAUAAAUUACAAUUUUUUCUUUUUCUCUUUGUUUUCGUGUCGCUGCUGUUGUUUUGUCUGUUUCUUUGCAGGUACGGGGUGCGUUGGCAUCGUACGGAGGCUGUGCUGGAGCUUGGCGUGAGGCGUACGAGGGCGUGUGCGGCGGUCGUACGGCGCGAGGGCUAGGGCUCGUUUGCGGUUGCAGCGCAAAAGUGAGAAAGAAACCCUAAGGUUUCUUUUCUAAAAACAUUGGGCCUAUCGGGCUUGUAAUUUGGGUCGGUUUUUGAUAUUAGGCUGUAGGGUAUUAGUUAUGUAGUUGGGUUAUGUAAUUAGACAUUCAAGGACUAUUAAUUAUUUUGGUUUUUGUUUAUUUAUUUAUUUAUUUUGGGUUUCAAAAGGGCCGGACAAAUUGGCCUGUGUACAGCUGCCCCUCUUUGUUCAUUGUUGUGUAACGAGAAUAGAGCAAAGACUUCAAAGAAGGCCAAUUUUACCCGGUUUCACGGAAUCAUGACUUCUUUGGUGCUUCUUUUCUUUAGGUAGCUUUAAUAUGCUCCAAUGCAACUUCAGGGAGACAUGGUUCGCGUGUUUUUAUCCUGGCCUACUGCAACUUCCAAGAGAUAAGGAUUGUGACUUCGAUCUGCUCCACUGCAACUUCAGGAAGACAAGAUCUUGCAAUCUUCGGCCUGUUGCCCUACUAUUUAGGGGGUUAAGGCUUGUUCUCUUCGAUCUUCUCCACUGGAACUUCAGGGAGACAAGGUCUGCAAUCUUUAGCCUACUCCUCUACAACUUUAGGGAGAUAGGGUGUUGGCUUAAAUCUGCUUCACUGCAACUUCAAGAAGACAUGAUUCGCCAUCUUUGAUCUACUCUAUUGUAACUUCAGGGAAAUAAGAUUUAUAAUCUUCAGCCUACUCCACUACAACUUUAGGAAGCUAGGAUGGUGGUUUAAAUCUGCUUCACUGCAACUUUAGGAAGACACGAUUCGUCGUCGUCGAUCCCCUCUACUGCAACUUCAGGGAGACAAGAUCUGUAGAAUUCACCAAUGUCGCUACACUGUCUUCUAAGGACAUGAUUUAUUGAAUUGGUUUCCUGUAUCUAUGCUUAUGCCAUAUAAUUAGGAUGCCAUGAUCAAAAUGAGUCAGAUGCUCCUAACUAGGUGAAUGAUUAUGAAUGUAUAAAUGUGAUGAGAGUAAUUCCUUUUUAAACGCUUAAGGUAUCAUUGCUCAUAGUUCAUCAGGGUUCCAUCAUCGGUGCGCUAUUGCGUCUUCUUGCUUAGCCGUUAUCUUUGGCAGAGAAUUUGAAGAAGUUGCCAUAAUUUGGACUAUUCUUUUCCAAUAUUUCCAACUUUUGAACCUGGUUAGUCCUGACUAGUGGCCCUGUUUCAGGUCCUUGUACUAUUUAGAGACCUUACAGAGUAAUAUGCAUAACUUCUUUUAUGUGACUAUUAUAAGUCCAAAAAUCGUGAUUUCAACAAAAAUGCUCGAAAGAGAUUAUCAUAAUGGACAAGAUGGAAUUUUGUUGAGUAAAAACUCGAAGUGAAUACAUUAAACAGAAUAGCAAAUCUGCUAAGGCACAAAAUAAGAUGAGAAAAAAAGGUGCCCCAGAUAUCGCAGCACGAGCUUCACUAUUCUAAUUUCUCAAAGGCUCUUUCGAACCAAAUGUGUGUUCAGGAGAUCCCGCGUAUUUUGUUGUUGCUCCAAAAUGUACUGUUCUUCUAUCUUGUUAAUUUUUGGAGGACAAGACCACUACAUGCCCCAUAUUCAAGAUUUGAGAUGCCCGUUUUCGGGUUUUUAACUCAAAAACCCCUUUGGUCUUAAAGUGCCCUUUGCGGGUUUUCACAUUGGCCUCUCCAUUUUUUUUUGAAAGCGCCCUUUGCGGGUUUUCGCAUUGGCCUUUCUUUCUUUAGGUAAAAUACUUCUUGACAGAAUCUAAAUUUACGGGAUGGGGCAGGUAUUUACCAUCCAUCUCGGCUAGAAUCAAUGCUCCUCCGGAGAAAGCUUUCUUCACCACGUAAGGCCCCUCCCAAUUAGGCAUCCAUUUUCCUCAAAAAUCCCCUCUGUAUGGGAAGGAUCUUUUUUAAAAUCAAGUCUCCCUCGCGGAAUUCUCUAGGGCGAACCUUUUUGUCAUAUGCUCGCAUCAUUUGUUUUUGGUACAUCUGAACAUGACGGAUAGCUCUUAGCCUCUUUUCUUUAAUUAAGUUUAAUUGAUCAUAUCGAGACUGGAUCCAUUCUGCUUCAUCCAACUUUAGUUCUGACAAGAUUCAAAAGGACGGGAUCUCGACUUCAAUUGGCAAGAUCUCUUCCAUUCCAUAGACCAAAGAGAAAGGCGUUGCCCCAGUUGAGGUUCUGACUGAUGUUCGAUAAGCAAGAAGGGCGAAUGAUAACUUCUCAUGCCAAUCUUUGUAGGUCUCGGUCAUCUUCCCCACGAUAUUCUUAAUAUUUUAAUUUGCUGCUUCUACUGCCCCAUUCAUUUUUGGGCGAUAUGGUGACAAGUUGUGGUGUCUGAUCUUGAAUUGACUGCAGACUUCCGCUAUCAUACUAUUGUUUAGGUUUAAUGCAUUGCCAGAUAUGAUCCUUUUCGGUAUCCCAUAUCGACAUAUGAUCUCUUUUUUCAGAAAUUUGCUCACUGCCGACUUUGUAACAUUAGCAUACGAAGCGGCUUCUACCCAUUUGGUGAAGUAGUCAAUAACUACAAAGAUGAGCUGAUGCCCAUUGGAAGCCUUAGGCGAUAUCGGUCCAAUCACAUUCAUACCCCACAUAGAGAAAGGCCAUGGGGAAGUCAUGACAGGCAGCGGCGAAGGAGGCACAUAAAUUUUGUCUCCACAGAUUUGGCAUUUAUGACAUCUCUUAGCGUAAUUGACACAGUCUCUUUCCAUAGUGGACCAAGAAUACUCGAAUCUCAUAAUUUUCCUGGCCAUUGUAAAACCAUUAGCGUGUGUCCCACAGACGCCCUCAUGGACUUCUUCUAGGAUUUUCUUAGCCUCUACGGCAUCUACGCAUCUUAAUAGUACUUGAUCCUUUCUUCUUUUGUAUAGAAUCUCCCCAUCUAAGACAUAAUCGAUGGCCAAUCUUCUCAGCAUUCUUUUGUCAUUCUCGUUUGCCUAGUUCGGGUAUUCACGAUUCUUCACGUAUUGUAAUAUAUCGUGAUACCAAGGGUGAUCAUCUUUUUUUUCGUCUUCUUCAAUAUCAUAACAGUGGGCCGGAGUUUCAUAAAUGCUCAUCCGGAUGGGUUUGACAUUUUCUUAUUUGUUCACCUUGAUCAUGGAAGCUAAGGUGGCCAAAGCAUCGGCCAUCUGAUUUUCGUCUCGUGGAAGGUAACAGAAAGUAAUGUCAUCGAACUCUUUAAUCAAUUUAAGGACUAGUUUUCGAUAAUCAAUCAACUUGGGGUCUCUGAUCUCCCAUUCUCCUUUGAGUUGAUAAAUCACUAGCGCAGAAUUUCCAUACACCUCUAGCACUUUAAUCUUGUGUUCUAUAGCUGCACUAAUACCUAUGAUGCACGCUUCGUAUUCUGUCAUGUUGUUCGUACAAUCAAAAUCCAAUUUGCUAGUAAAUGGAUAAUGAUCUCUCUUUGGGGAUACCAAGACUGCCUCGAUUCCAUUACCCACAGCAUUUGACGCUCCAUCGAAGUUCAGUUUCCAAGGAAGUUCUUCCGGAUCACCUUCUUCAGUAAUAAUAACACACAUCAGGUCUUCAUUCGGGAAAUCAAAAUUCAAAGACUCGUAGUCUUCGAAAGCUCUACUAGCCGAAAAAUCUGCUAUUGCACUCCCUUUUACUGCUUUCUGGUUCACAUAGACUAUGUCGAAUUCGGAGAGCAGAAUUUGCCAUCGGGCCAUCCUUCCAUUCAAAGCUGUCGACUCUAUCAUGUACUUUAAAGGGUCUAGUUUUGAAAUUAGCCAAGUAGUGUGAUACAACAUAUACUGCCUCAACCUUUGGGUUGUCCAAACUAGGGCGCAACACAACCUUUCUAUUGGCGAGUACCUUGUCUCACAUUCAGUGAACUUUUUACUAAGAUAGUAAAUAGUUUUUUCUUUCCUUCCUGAAUUAUCAUGCUGACCCAAUACGCAUCCCAUGAAAUUCUCAAAUACUGCUAAAUACAAUAUCAAUGGCUUAUCGGGGCUAGGUGGCGUUAGCACCGGAGCGUUGGAUAAGUACUAUUUGACCUUGUCGAAAACCCUUUGGCAUUCUUCAUCCCAUUCACUUGGGUUGUGUUUCUUGAGGAGGCGAAAGACAGGGUCACAUUUCUCGGUUAGUUGAGAAAUGAACCGAGCAAUGUAAUUUAAUCUUUCUAGAAAGCCUCGAACCUUUUUCUGGGUACGCGGCGGGGAUAGCUCUUGUAUGGCUUUGACUUUGUCUGGAUCAAUCUCAAUCUCUUUCUUGCUAACAACGAAUCUGAGUAACUUUCCAGAUUUGGCUCCGAAGGUACAUUUGACGAGGUUGAGUUUUAGCUAGAACUUCCUUAACCUUAAGAACAACCUCCUCAGGACUUGUACGUGCUCCUUCUCGGUUCGGGACUUUACGAUCAUAUCAUCGACAUAAACUUCGAUUUCUUUGUGCAUCAUGUCAUGAAACAUGGUUACCAUAGCCCUUUGACAUGUUGCCCCCACGUUCUUCAGUCUAAACGGCAUUACCUUAUAGCAGAACGUGCCCCACAUGGUUACAAAUAUGGUCUUCUCCAUGUCUUCAGGAUGUAUCUUGAUCUGGUUAUAUCCGGAGUAACCGUCCAUGAAUGAAAACAGUGAGUGUCCUGCCGUGUUGUCCACUAGGGUGUCAAUAUGAGGUAGUGGGAAAUUAUCCUUCGGGCGGGCUUUGUUCAAAUCUCUGUAGUCCACACACAUUCGCACUUUUCCAUCUUUCUUAAGGAUAGGGACGAUGUUGGCUACCCAAUCUGAGUAUUUUACCACAUUCAGGAAUCCAGCGUCGAACUACUUUCGAACCUCUUCUUUUAUUUUUAGCAAGACGUCGGGCCUCAUUCUUCAGAGUCUUUGCUGAACUGGCUUACAUUCUUCCUUUAUGGGGAGUCGGUGUACCACGAUAUCAGUGUCCAACCCGGGUAUAUCUUGGUAUGACCAUGUGAAGACAUCUUUGAAUUCUUGAAGUAAUUCAAUAAGGUCUCGCUUCAUCCUCAUGGUGAUACAAGUUCCGAUUUUCACCUCUUGUCCUUCUCCUAAGCUCACGAUUUCUACUGAUUCCUUAUGAGGUAGGAUUUGUUUCUCGUCUUGUUCUACCAUUCUCAACAAAUCAGGAGAUAGGUUACCGUCUUGGUCAUCUUCAAAAUCCUGAGAAUCCUCCAUAUACACAUCUCGCUCAAAAGGAAAUUCUGAGUCACUGGCGGUGUCACUCAUAUCAUUGAUAUUUGGGGACCUGUUAUAAGGAUGAAGGCAGAUACAAAGAAUCAAAAGAAUUCAAAAACAUUUAUCUGUAUGGUAUGAUUAUGAAUGACGAAUGAAAGAAUAUUUAGAAUAAUAUUUAAAGAAUAAAAGAAUCCGAAAGUAAUCGUUUGUAUAGUAGGAUUAUGGAUGAAAUUGAAAGAAUGAGAGAACAUUUGCUCAAAAAUGAUAAUAACUGUGUAUUUCAUUGAAAUAACGUUUUUAAACAUCAACCUAUUUCACAAAAGAUUCUUAUUACUCCUAGGCCUAGAGCAAUAAGUGUGUUUUGGACAUUACUCUGAAUCAGUUCUAAAAACUAUAGGAAUCUCUUUUGCAGUCCAGUUAUCCAGAACACUUCCAGGUAUAUAGGGGCAAAUGCCCGACAAAUUUUCUCUUCCAGUCUCUUCGUCAUAUGUGGCGUUGAUGUCCAAGCUUUCCAACCUUUCUUCUAUGGCUCCCUCCACUGGCGUGCCUCUCUUGGGAUGGACGAUUCCUCCGGACACAAAGGUUUUCGAUAUAUUGGGGAAUAUCAUUGGCUCCCAUUUGAUUUCCUCCCCCAUUAACCGCGCUCUCCUUCUUUCUUACUUCUUGUCUAGCUCCCUUCUUCUUUGUUUCGCAUCUAGUUUAAAUCUUAAGCUGAAACGGUCUCUUUUGUCCUUCAAUAUUGGCGUUUUAACCCUUCCUUGGAUAUGUCUCCCAAGUUCUCUUCCGGGUAGAGCCCCUUUUCCAACCAUCAACUGUAAGCUCAUCUUCGUAGUUUUGAACAAUUUUGGCACCAGAAUCUUGCUUCCCUCGGCGAUGAACAUUGCAUUAACAAUUUUCAAAGAUCGAAAUGAGCAUUCGAUUGCUUUGUCAUCUGUCUCCAAAUAAGGCACAUUAUUGCUUAUAGUUGCAAUGAUAUCCUCUUCAGCAUUGAUCGUUAUCAACUGCCCCUCUGAUACCAGCUUCAACUUUUUCAUGCAACGAUGAAGGCACUGCCCCGGCUGAAUGUAUCCAGGGCCUUCCAAAUAAGUAAUUGUAUGAGGGCUUGAUAUCCAUUACUAAGAAAUCCACCUCAUACGUGUUUGGCCCGAUCUGAAGAGGUACCUCAAUUCUGCCCAUCACCCUUCUCUUCGUGCCAUCGAAUGCUUUCACUAUGUUCUGGCAGUCCAUCAUGUGAGAGCUGUCUAUAGGUAAUCUGUUAAGCGUGGUUAAUGGCAGAACAUUCAAGGCCGAUCCGUUGUCAAUGAGUACGCCUAACAGCGUAUAUCCCUUACAGCGCGUGGUGAUAUGGAAAGCUUUAGUCGACCCCAUGCCCCCGGGUGGUAUCUCGUCGUCAUUGAAGAAGAUAUAGUUGUCGGCGCUUAUGUUGCUAACCAAAUGGUCCAGUUUGUUAACGGAGAUAUCAUUGGCAACAUAUGUUUCAUUCAAGACCUUCAUCAGCGCGCUGCGAUAAACUUCCGAGCUUAGAAGUAAGACCAGCACCGAGAUACGAGCUAGUUGUUUACGUAGCUGUUCCACCACGCUGUACUCACUGUACUUCAGGAAUUUUAGAAACUCCUUAGCCUCCUCCUCGUUAACUGGCUCAUUGACAGGAAGUUUAGACUUGGUCACUUUUUCCUUCAUCUUUUCGACCACUAGGGCUUUUCCUUUUACGAGUUGUGCCUUUUCGCUUGUUGUAUCGUAACGUUUCCCACUACGUGUAUAAGAGCCCCCAUCUUGAUUCUUCUUUGAAGUGUCAACCAGGCUUUGCUUUCCUGGAAUCGUUACGUUGUAAUCAUAAUUCCAUGGGACCCUUUUGCUGUCUUUGUAGAGGAAGACUGCAGGUCUUUGGAUUAUAACCCUCGGUGGCAUUCGCACUCCAGCUUCAUUAUUUUUGGGUCGCGAUAUGAUGACCACGGGGUAGUUAACUGCUUGAUUCUGCACCGUCGAUUCUCCCUCUGAUGCGUAUAUAUCUCCCUCUCUGGGGUUUUUAGUUUCUUCAUAAAACUUAAUCUCUUUAUUGUUUAUUAAGUCUUGUAAUAGGGCCUUGAACUCUACACACUCUUGGAUUUCAUGCCCCACCUCAUUGUGGAACUCGAAUAGUUCCUCUCUUCUUUAGAUUCUUUCCUUGAAUCCAACGAGAUCAACCCUCUCUUGACCAUCUCCUCCCAUACCCGUCUCAAUGGGGUCCUGACUUCUGCAACCUCAUUUUGAUCCUCUUGUUCCUACCUUCGCUUAUCUCGUUCACUCAUUGGUCAGAAUGAUUGGGGAGUGGGUUUCCUGCUACAUUAGGUGUGGAUGGGUCGUCAAACCUCACGAUCCCUAUUUUAAUUAGUCUUUAGACUACUUUCUUGAAUGCUGUGCAGUUUUCGAUUGAGUGCCCAGUGAUUCCCGCGUGGUAUUCACAUUAGGCGUUUGUGUCAUACCAUUUGGGAUACGGGGGCUGUAGUGGCUUCAGGUAAAAAGGGGACACUACAUGAGUGUUGAACAGGUUCUGGUAUAGCUCCCUAUACGUCAUGGGUAUAGGGGUGAAUUGCGGCCUUUCUGUGCUCUCCAUCUUUGUGUGUAUUGUCUGAAACUUUCAUUUGACUUCUUCUCCAUGUUCUGGAGAGUGAUUCUGUCGGGGGUCAUGUCUGUCACAUGAUUGUAUUGUUUCAUAAAGGCCUGAGCCAGAUCCUUCCACGAGUUAAUUUUAGCGCGGCUUAAUUGGUUAUACCACUUAGAUGCCGCCCCAACCAGACUGUCUUAAAAACAGUGCAUUAAUAGCUGGUCAUUGUUAACGUAUCCCGCCAUUCGCCUACAGAAUAUAGUGAUGUGAGCUUCAGGGCAGCUCGUUCCAUUGCAUUUCUCGAAUUCGGGCAUUUUGAAUUUGGGGGGAAGGACCAAAUCUGGGACCAAACUCAGGUCCUUAGCAUCAACCCCUUGACGAUUGUCCGCGCUUUCCAUAGCUCUAAAUUUCUCAUCAAUGCAUCUACACCGUUCUUCCAAUUGUUUCUGCAAAUCUAUCUUCGCCUAUUCUUCUUCAGUAGCUUCGUCAAAAUCGGGAACGGGCGAAUAAUUUAGGUUAUUAAUGAGGUUAGAGCUUGAGCCGGGUUAGAAAUUUAUUGGUAUCGAAGCUCCGACCUGAAUCUGCUAAGGUAUGAUCGUAAUAGAUGGUUUUUAUAGAUUAAUCUCGGGCUGCAUCGGUGCCUAUGUCGGAGUGAAGCUAGGGGGUAUUGAGGAUCUUCAUUAGUUUCAUCAACGUUGUCCAUGGGGCCCUUUCCCUUAUCCGUUCUUCCCAAUAGCAAUUGGGAUAACUGACUCAUCAUUUCUCUCUGGGAUUCCAUCAUUUGCUCCUUCAUCUCUCACUGAAUCUUGGCUAGCUGCUUUGCAUCUAGGACUGCAUUCUUUCCUGCAUGUCCUUUUGCAUUUGCUCUAAUUUCUCAAGUCUUUUAUCCAUUGACUUUUUCCUUAUACCGUAGGGGUGUGUAGUUGGUUGGUUUUCGUUGGUUUCCAGGUUACUGAAAUGAUUUUUAAUUAAUUAAUUAGAAACCUCUUAUGACCUUUAAUGCAUAGUGAUAUGAUGUAAUGCAAAUGCAUGAAUACAAAGGAGGCAUCAAUUUUGAUUCAAUUCCCUUUAGAAAACUUCACUAGAAAAUAAAAUUAUUUUACAUAAAGUUGAGUUACAAAUAAAAUUUUGCUCUAACGCUUAAAGUCUUAAUUUUUCUAAGCAACGAGGCCAGCUCCUAUCCGCGAUCUGACUCCAACUCAUACUUCACGCUCAGUGUGUCUGCCUAUACCGCUAAAGCUUGCAAGUAGUCAGCUACCUCUCGAAUCUGGGUUAUGGCUUCCCCCAUAAGGUAAUCCCUGUUUCUGACUUGGUCUUGCGCAUGGUGAAGCUGCUCUUUCCAACGGUCCUCAUUCGCCUCAAAAAACUGAAUCCGCAUCUUACAGUUUUGCAGUGACACCUCUAACUCUUCUAUUUUUCCUUUCAUUUCUUCUAUCUUGCUCAAGCUUGCCCUCAAUUCCAUUGCAGUGUUGCGGUUUCGGUACUAAUGAAGAGACUUCUCAAGUUCUGCCACUCUAGCCUUUAAUUCGCUUCUUCAUUUCUGCCUUCUGACAGACUCUUCUCUAAAUCUUCAUUUCGCGCCUAAACUUCUCAGAAUUUCCUUUCCCAUCGGUUGGCUUUGGUUUUUUCUUCUCGAAUUCUAUGGCGCCAUUGUUCGAAAGUCUUACCUAACCCCGCAGUCAUCAUAGACAGGCGCAGCUUCUUAUAGUCAGUCUUUAAGCUGUCUAGAUCUUCUUCGGCCUUAGUUUUCCCUUUUCUCCACUUCUUAGCCUCUGACCUUUGGACAUUAGCGUCUAAUCUCAAGUGCAUCUUCUCUUCCUCCAAUUGUUCGAUCUUUUUUCCAAGCUCUGAACUCUUCUUUUCGAAGUUUUGCUUUAUAACUUCCAACUCUGACGGGGCGACUUGCAAUUGUUCCUCCAUAGGUCGAGUAUUUUCCAAGCUUGGCCUAGGAACGUUAUCAUUAACCCUUUUUCUAAACCAUCCGUCAUACUCGGACGUUACCAUGAAACCAACGACCAACCUCUUCAUCCAACAAGUUUGUUUCCAAGCAUCCGAUAGUUCCCGAACUUUCUUCUUAUAGUGAGCAACUUUAAAGGAGAAUUCACACUAAGCAAGUCCGUAGGUCGUAGGUACAAACUGCCUCGACUUAUAUUACCUCAAUGUAAGCAAUGAAGUAUACCCGCUAGCUCCCAAAAUCCUAACAAUGGCACCCAAUCAAAAUUACCACAUCGGUACAUGAUCUCAUCAGGCACCAUCCAAUAAGCUCUCCACUCUAUAUCCCCCUCCUUGAGGUUUUGGAGGAUUUCUAUCCACUUCUCCUCUGAGAUAUCUUCUCUCCUUUGUAUGGCUGUCUCUUCUUUUAACGGGGAAUAACCUUCGAAAAAGACCCAAUAAGAAACCUUGUCUACUUUCCAAAAGUGCCCAUGAAACCAUACCAUCAAUAAUUGUACGUACCCAAUAAACCGUCCCUCACCUGUCUUCUGACAUGAGCUCAAAGACCUGAACGUCUCAGCCAAUAUCGCUGGUACCGAUGUGAUUCCCUUCUUAAGGCGAUCGAAUAAGUCAAUGACUGCCUUGUCCACGUGCCUCAAAGCCUUAGGAAAAAUUACCAGUCCAUAGAUGCUUAAGGCGAAGAUAUAGACCCUCUUUCUUUCAUCUAGAUACGUCAAAAUCAAAUCUCGCAAAUUCUCCCAAGGGAUACAUUUACUAUCUCCUUUUUGUUGAAUCUGAGCAGUGACCCAAGGCUCACUCAUCCCUGAAAUGCUCAUCAAUUUCUUCAUAAAAGUCUGACCACUGAAAACCCGGGCAUAAGUCUUUCUGACCUGAAUUUUUGGACACCUAAGCAGAGUAGUGUAUUCGUCGAUUGCAGAUACCAAAUCCACUUCUCUAAAAGUGAAACAUUUGUAAGCAGAAUUCCAAAACUACACCAUAACUCGGAACAGAUGUUUAUCCACUCUAAUGUCUAGCAAGUAGGAUAUAUCACCAUAGCUUUGAUAAAACAACUGCUUGGUCCCUUCAUCCCAACUAGCCCAAAUAUCUCUCAACUCUUGCAGCUCAUUCUGUGCUACAUUGACGCGAGUGAAUUCCUACAACUCUGAUAUAUAUCCUUCUGCCAGGCUAUCCCCUUUUUCUGAUUCUAGCUUCUCUAACCAUGCACGAACGGCCGCAUUAUCCUUGACUUUACUAAGAAAUUCAUUCUCCAUGUCAAACUUUCUAACUUAGCAAUUGAAUACGAAUCAACACCUCCUUUAGUAUGCAAUGUCAUGCAAAAAAAAUCAAAACAAAACACAGGUUAGUAUCAAAUAAUGGCGAUAAAAUGCAAGUAUAUAAACGAUAAUUACAACGCAUAUACGGGUAAGUACUAAGGCUUGACGCGGCUCCACUCGAGGAUAGCUCCUAAGGUUCACUAUAUGUGAUUCGGUUCUAGAGAUAAGGUACCCGAACCAGCAGAUCCCUCAAUCCUCACCCAUUAUAGCCUCAUAUAGAUCGAAUUCGGUUCAGGGGGAUACAUUUUCCUAUAACCAUGCGGAGAUGAAAAUCACACGAAAUCAUAGGUACGGAUGUACCCCGGAAGCAAUCCACUAGCCCAUGCGGAAGUGAAAAGCUCACGAAAGCGUAGUUUCUUACUCCCACUUAGAAGCUGUGACCACAGCGGUCAUGCAAUGAAAUGCAGUAUUAUUCUACGAGAUUCGAACCAUAACAACCAUACAAACAAAUGCGAUCAUGAUUUUCAAAACAAGUUUUUGAUUUUUGACAAAAGGACAGCAAAUAAUCAAUUUUAUGGCUAGACUCUCUUAACCGGUCCCCAGUGGAGUCGCCAAACUAUCGAAACCAUCUUUUUAUUUAAAAUUUUAAGUUCAAUAAAAAAUGGAGAAUCGACUAUUUGAAAAUAAAAACAUGGAGUCGCCACCGAUCUUUUUGUUUUGGUGUGAUCGACUCACCUAAGAAUUUGGCUAUUAAAACAUUUCUGGUUUAUUAAAACAAUGAUUUUGGUCUAUGAACUUUUGAGAAAACAGGUUCGGGAGUCGAUUACGUAUGAGGAAGGAUUAGCACCCUCACUACGCUCAAAAUUGGUACCAAAUCGAUUAAAUACUGUCCUUACGUCUAAGAUUUAAAAAUGUUUUUGAAAUGUGGUUCCCUUUUGAUAAUAUUUGAAUAACCCGAGUUGGUUAUCAAAAUUAUCUUGCUUAAGAGGCAUAUAACACCACAUCUAGCACGAUAGGACACGAUCUUUCAUGCCCUCGAAAGCAUGACAAAUUUUGACUUCCAAAAAUUUAUACGUUGAAAACCGUAAAAGGAUGCCCAAUUAUUUAGUCCAACGAGAAGAUCGAAACCCAGCACAGUAGGGUACGACUCCUCGAAUUUCUAGAUAUCAGACAUUGCCUUAUUUUAGAAUUUAAAAAGUAUGAGUGAAAUUCUAAAGGAAUCUUCGAUCAUUUUGGACAAACAGAAAAUUGCAACCCAACACAUUAGGGUACGAUUACCCGAAUUGCCAAACUUCGAAUAUUACCUUCAUUUUGAAGAGUUUUUAGAAAACGUAAAUGAAAUUCUAAAGGGACAUUCGAUUAUUUUGAGCAAACGAGAAAUUGCAACCCAGCAUGUUAGGGCACAAUUCCGCGAAUUGUCAAAUAUCGAACAUCGCCCUCGUUUUAAAGGAUUUUUAGGAGACAUGAGUGAAAAUUUGAAGGAAUAUUCGAUUAUUUUGAGCAAACGAGAAAUUGCAACUCAGCACGUUAGGGCAAGAUUCCGCGAAUUGUCAAAUAUCGAACAUCACCUUCGUUUUAAAGAAUUUUUAAACGAAUAAUUAUAAAAAUAGCUUAAAACAUAUUAAUGCGACUCGAAAUAAAACGAAAUUAAUCAUAAAAAUUUAGAUUUUAUAAAACCACAUUUCAUAAACCAAGUGGAAAACGAUGAUAUGGGGUAAUAUGUAUAUGCAUAAAAUACGACAAUGGAAGAGUGGGGGGUAAUACAAUUUAUUUAACCAACUAACAAACACUUACAACUAAGUAUAACUAACUUGGAAAUAUAGCUCAAUUUCAAUCAUGCAUGGAGAAUAAUUAACAUGACAAUACAAAACAAUGAAUAAAUAAAUAAUGCAAUGGUAACAUGCAUGGCAUAAUGUAAUAUGACUACUACUAGAUACACAAAACAAAAUGCAAAUCAAAGAAGUAAUAUGGUAUAAAACUAUUUUAAAACAAUGAUAAAUAAACGAUGCACACUAUAUGAAUUGAUGGAUUGAUAAAUAAAACAUUUGUAAAGGCAAGCUUAAUAUACAUAUGCGAUCAUUAAAAUAUAUAUUGUAGAAUGAAUCUUUUUUUUAAAAUACAUAAUAUAUAAGUUGAUAAAUUUGCGUAGAAACUAAGAAUAUGUAAUCAUUGAAAGAAAUAUUAUAGAAUAAAACUUUGAAUCAAAUUGCAUGUAAAUAUUUUAAAUACAAACUCCUUUAAAGGUUUACAAAGUACAUGAUAAUUUGAAUAAUAUAUGUACAAAAGAAUAAUAAAAAUACAUGACAAGACAUAAUACCCAAAAUAGAUUUAUAAAAAAUGUACAUGUAAAUUUAUAAAAAGAAUGAGAUUAAUAAUAAUAAUAUAUAUAUAUAAAUUUUAAGUUAGUCUAAAAAUUAUACAUGCCUUCAUAUCAAAACAUUUAAAUAAUAGGCUAUAUAAAACACAAAGUAAGUUAAUACAAAGGAACAUCUAAAAAUAAUAAUUUUAUAAUUACAAAAAAAUGAGGUUUCUAAAAUUGUUUCACAUAUAUGUAUAAUUAUUAAACUAUAUGUUAUGGAAUAAAUAUUUUAAUCGAAUGACAUACAAAAUAUUGAAGAAUAUUAGCUUAAAAUUAACAAUUUUCAUAAAUAUUUUAAAUUAUGUACCAAAUAUGAAGAGAUUACAAAUAUAUAUAUAUAUAACUUUAGAAGUAAUUAUUUGUAAAAACAUGUAAGACAUACAAGAUUAAAUUAAUUUUAUUAUACAUUUCACAAUAGACUUAAGAACGUGCCUAUAGAUGUAAGAAAACUAUAGGCAUAAAAUGUAUCGACUUAGAAAUAUAUAUAUCAAAUAUGUGUACUAAUAUAAGUAAGUAUAAAAAUAAUUUAAACUUUAUGUAAAACAUAUAUACAAAACAUGUUAGAAUAACAAAAAUAUAUAUACCAAAAUACAUGGAUAGGGUCAAAAAUCAUUAUAUGCAUGAAAAUACGUUAACUUUGUUAUAAAAUAUGUAUAUGUAUAAUAAUAUAAAGGAGAUAAACAAUUAAAGUAUACAAAGUAUGAUAAUAAUAUUACAAAAACGAAUCUACAACAAUGAAGAAACAAUUAUCAAAAUUGCUUAAAAUGUACAAAUGAAUAAAUAAAGAAAAUAAAAAGGGCUAUAAAAUAAAAAGACUCAAUUAAAAUUAAACUAAAACACACGGGGUAAUUUGAAAAUAAAUCAAUAAUUAUAAAAGGACCUAUAGGUAACGCGCGCAGCUGUGUAGGGACUUAAACUGGAAAUAUUCUAGACCCCCAAAACGCAACACACAAGUGCGGACCAAAAUACAAAUACACGCAAAUUAUGGGUAAAAUUUAAAAAUAAAAAAAAUACGAAUAUUAACUGAUUUGAAAACGGGGCGAAAAGGAAAGGAUUUAUAUUGCAAAAAAACCCUCACCGCAAACACACGCGUGUCAUCGGGGCAGCAAACCGGAUCGGGUCGGGCGUGACUAGACGAUGUCGUUUUUGAGCCAUUGAAACGGGCUUGAAACGGCGUCGUAUUCGACCCUUUAAAAAGACCGAAAACUAAAUCAUUCGACCAAACAAACCCUAGCCUCCCCUUUUCUCCAACCGAACUAAGCCAAACCCCUUUGGCCAUGGCCCCAUCGCAACCUACAACCGACCGAUUUACUGCCCCGUGAUUCCUCCUCCACCUUCGACUUCAACGAGGCAAGGAAGAAUUAAUGGCGGAUUCACGAGGUAAGGCUUCAUUUUUCUCUUUUCUUUUAUUUUUAGAUGCAAAGAAUGAAAAAGAAAAUCAGAGGGAGCAGAUCAAGAGAGAAAAAACGUAAUAAACCCCAGAGAUUCAAAACAGGAAAUCACCUUGCUCUGUUUUUUUUUGCUUUCUAUUGCUUCUGUAUGCCUCCAGAAGACUUUACAAUCGCAAAACGAAAGGCUUUAUAGCCGAGUGUUCCAAAAAAGAAUAAAAAUAAAUUACAAUUUUUUCUUUUUCUCUUUGUUUUCGUGUUGCUGCUGUUGUUUUUUUGGUUUCUUCGCAGGUACGGGGUGCGUUGGAAUCUUACAGAGGCUGUGCUGGCGCUUGGCGUGAGGCGUACGAAGGCGUGCGUGGUGGUCGUACGACGCGAGGGCUGGGGCUCGUCUGCGGUUGCGGCGCAAAAGUGAGGAGGAAACCCUAAGGUUUCUUUUCUCAAAACAUUGGGCCUAUCGGGCUUGUAAUUUGGGUCGGUUUUUGAUAUUGGGCUGUAGGGUAUUAGUUAUGUAGUUGGGUUAUGUAAUUAGACAUCCAAGGACUAUUAAUUAUUUGGGUUUUUGUUUAUUUAUUUAGGGUUUCAGAGGGGCCAGGCAAAUUGGCCUGUUUACAUAUAUCUAAUUUAAUUAUUAAUUAAAAUUAACAUGAUUAUAAGUAAUGCCAACAUCUGUCCAUC